RNAcentral lists this ribosomal RNA (253 nucleotides) under uncultured bacterium. RNAcentral describes it as "partial 16S ribosomal RNA". It matches the Rfam family "Bacterial small subunit ribosomal RNA", at positions 524 to 776 of the family's 1533-position model. The record is from RNAcentral.
GACGGAGGAGGCAAGCGAUAUCCGGAAUUAUUGGGCGUAAAGGGUACGUAGGCGGCUGGUCAAGUCUGGGGUCAAAGGCCACAGCUCAACUGUGGGAAGGCCCUGGAAACUGACCGGCUAGAGUGAGGUAGGGGUUGCGGGAAUUCCCGGUGUAGCGGUGAAAUGCGUAGAGAACGGGAAGAACACCUGAGGCGGAAGCGCGCAACUGGGCCUCAACUGACGCUGAGGUACGAAAGCUAGGGGAGCUAAUGGG